GCCGGGAGCGGUGGCACAUGCCUGUAGUCCCAGCUACUCGGCAGGCUGAGGAGGGAGGAUCGCUUGAGCCCAGGAGUUCUGGACUACAGUGCCCUACGACGAUCCGAUGUCCGCACUAAAUUAGGCAUCCAUAUGGUGGCCUUUAGGGAGCGGGGACCACCAGGUUGCCUAAGCUGGGGUGAACCUGACCAGGUUGGAAACGGAGCAGGUGAAAACUCCCGUGCUGAUCAGUAGUGGGACCGCACCUGUGAAUAGCCACUGCACUCCAAGCCUGGGCAACAAAGAAGAUGUCGUCUCUU
This is an unclassified non-coding RNA of Cebus imitator (Panamanian white-faced capuchin), 299 nucleotides long. It matches the Rfam family "Metazoan signal recognition particle RNA". From Rfam's summary of the family: The signal recognition particle (SRP) is a universally conserved ribonucleoprotein. It is involved in the co-translational targeting of proteins to membranes. NCBI's taxonomy places the organism in Eukaryota, Metazoa, Chordata, Mammalia, Primates, Cebidae. The record is from Ensembl.